RNAcentral lists this ribosomal RNA (253 nucleotides) under uncultured bacterium. RNAcentral's name for it is "partial 16S ribosomal RNA". It matches the Rfam family "Bacterial small subunit ribosomal RNA", at positions 524 to 776 of the family's 1533-position model. The record is from RNAcentral.
UACGAAGGGGGCUAGUGUUGCUCGGAAUCACUGGGCGUAAAGGGUGCGUAGGCGGGUUUUUAAGUCAGGGGUGAAAUCCUGGAGCUCAACUCCAGAACUGCCUUUGAUACUGAAGAUCUUGAGUCCGGGAGAGGUGAGUGGAACUGCGAGUGUAGAGGUGAAAUUCGUAGAUAUUCGCAAGAACACCAGUGGCGAAGGCGGCUCACUGGCCCGGUACUGACGCUGAGGCACGAAAGCGUGGGGAGCAAACAGG